GCAGAACUCACAGAUCUCUUGAUUCAACAGAACCACAUCGGGAGUGUGAUUAAGCAAACGGAUGUUUCAGAAGACAGCGAUGACGAUGUGGAUGAAGACGAGAUUUUUGGUUUCAUAAGUCUUUUAAAUUUAACUGAAACAAAGGUUGGUUUCAUUGGGUGGCCAUUAGAGUGGUUAUUCAUUAGGGCAGAACCUAAAAAGUUAAUUCUAUUUAAUCCUUGACGAAAGUGUGUUUUAUAUCAGAUAAAGAUACUAAAUAUAAGGACGUGCUCUUGUGAAAUCUUACUGUAAUCCUUUUUUCAAUAUAUUCUUGUUUCUCUGAAUAAUCUGUACCCAGUUAAAGUCAUUUACUGCCUGUGGUAUAGAGAAUUGUCCUCUGAGUUUUAAAGAAUGGGUUUUCUGAUGUUGGUGUGGACACAGCUGUUUUUGCUGUCUCUACAGCUGUUUUCUUUGAUUCUGAGUCUUCAUUGCUUCCUGAAAUUGAGGACACUCACAUGUAUUUGUAUUUUCAUUCAUAUAUUGACUCAUUGAUGGGUUCUAGUUAAAAAAAAAGAACCCAGGGGGUUUACCCUCCUUAGAAUAAGAUGCAGGCUACACUUUAAAUUUUAAGUGAACUUUUCAGAUACUUUCGUCUUAUGGGACGGACUAGAGUUUCUAUCCCAGUAUGUCUGAGUUAGUAUAACCUUCUCUGACCACUGAGUAUGGGCUAGUAAAUAGCCAGGUGUAGUUACUUUUGAAAAAUAAUCAACACAAUCAGACUUGUAAAGUGAAAGUCGCUCAGUCGUGUCCGACUCUUUGCAACCCUAUGGACUAUACAGUCCAUGGA
This 826-nucleotide long non-coding RNA is filed under the name Capra hircus (goat). Its description in RNAcentral is "lncRNA (ENSCHIG00010032018.1)". Lineage: Eukaryota; Metazoa; Chordata; Mammalia; Artiodactyla; Bovidae. The record is from RNAcentral.